Molecule: ribosomal RNA, 245 nt
Filed under: uncultured bacterium
Lineage: Bacteria
Description: partial 16S ribosomal RNA
Rfam family: Bacterial small subunit ribosomal RNA
Source: RNAcentral
UACGUAGGGGGCGAGCGUUGUCCGGAUUCAUUGGGCGUAAAGAGCUCGUAGGCGGCUUGGCAAGUCGGAUGUGAAAACUCCAGGCUCAACCUGGAGCCGCCAUUCGAUACUGCCAUGGCUAGAGUCCGGUAGGGGAGUGUGGAAUUCCCGGUGUAGCGGUGAAAUGCGCAGAUAUCGGGAGGAACACCGAUGGCGAAGGCAGCACUCUGGGCCGGCACUGACGCUGAGGAGCGAAAGCGUGGGGA